AUGCGGAUUAAUUCGAUGCAACGCGAAGAACCUUACCAAGGCUUGACAUACACCGGUAACGCCCAGAGAUGGGUGCCCCUUUGUGGUCGGUGUACAGGUGGUGCAUGGUUGUCGUCAGCUCGUGUCGUGAGAUGUUGGGUUAAGUCCCGCAACGAGCGCAACCCUUAUCCCCAGUUGCCAUCAGGUAAAGCUGGGAACUCUGGGGAGACUGCCGGUGAUAAACCGGAGGAAGGCGGGGAUGACGUCAAGUCCUCAUGGCCCUUAUGUCCAGGGCUACACACGUGCUACAAUGGCCGGUACAAAGGGGCGCAAGACCGCGAGGUGGAGCAAAUCCCAAAAAACCGGUCUCAGUUCGGAUUGGAGUCUGCAACUCGACUCCAUGAAGUUGGAGUCGCUAGUAAUCGCAGAUCAGCAACGCUGCGGUGAAUACGUUCCCGGGCCUU
This 443-nucleotide ribosomal RNA is filed under the name uncultured Leptospiraceae bacterium. Its description in RNAcentral is "bacterial SSU rRNA". It matches the Rfam family "Bacterial small subunit ribosomal RNA", at positions 939 to 1382 of the family's 1533-position model. The record is from RNAcentral. Lineage: Bacteria; Pseudomonadati; Spirochaetota; Leptospiria; Leptospirales; Leptospiraceae.